This 1114-nucleotide long non-coding RNA is filed under the name Oryzias sinensis (Chinese medaka). RNAcentral describes it as "lncRNA (ENSOSIG00000004927.1)". Lineage: Eukaryota; Metazoa; Chordata; Actinopteri; Beloniformes; Adrianichthyidae. The record is from RNAcentral.
GCAGUGUGUAAUGUAAAAUUCUUCUUGGUAAUCCCCAAAAGUUUGCACAUUUAAGGUUUAUUUAGCACUGCCUAACCGUUUUUGGGGCUUGUAAUUUUCCCAGCAGAUGGCCAUGACAUGCAUCCUGUGCUGCAAACAUGGUUGCCACGACGACGUUGGCAUGUUCAGUGAUCUUGCUGUUUACAUGAAAAGACGAGCUACGGGCACGAAGAAAACUCAUUUCUUCUUCUGUUUUCAGGCGCAGACCUCACACAUCUCCUCUGACAACGACUCCGAACACGACCGAACAGACCCGGGAGGCAGCGGGCCGCUCAUCAAAGCAGAAAGGGUUCUGAAACAGCAGAGCAGAGCCACAUCGUCAGGACUUCAGCAAAACUCUCCUGCUCUGCUGGAUUCCACACCUGCUGUCAGGUUCAGCAGCUGCUGGAGUUUGAGCACAGUGUCCUGCUGCAGCCCGUCUGGUCUCCACCUGCAGGAAGAUGUUGGAAAGUUUCCCCUAAUCUGGUUGGUGCAUCUGAACACCAUUAUGCCGCCAUCUGCAUCACAAUGGCCUCCUAAUCCACAAGAAGCCUCCCGAAUUAACCGCAGACUGCAAAUCCUGGAUUUGACGGAUCUAUCCGGAUGAGGACUUUGCGUGCAUGACAUGUUUGUCCAGCAGCCUACAAAUCUACUUUAUAAAAAAGACACACCCAUGGUUGCAGACCAGUAUGCUCCACCAGAAUGCUCGCCACAAAGUCAUACAAUAAUUAUAAAAUUCAGAGGACGUAUUUUUACAAUUGUGCAUUAAAAUAAGUCCACAAGGAAAUUCAUGCGCUAAAUUGAUGUCAUUUUUCCACUUCCUGUCUCCAAAAAUGCUUCCUAAGAAAACCGAUCCCCUGAUUAUAUAGUCUUAUAUUUGUUUCAUUGCUAAAUGUCAGAAAGCAAGCUGUAAUUUUUGCUUUACUUGGCUUAAAUGUCAGCAAAAAGAGCUCGACUCUGCAUGUGUACAUGUGGUUCUGCGUUUGUCAGCAUAUGUACAGUCAUUUAAGGCUAAAAUAAAAAGUGAUUUAUUGUAAAUGGUCAUUAAUAUAAGGUGGCAGAAACAAAAGUCAGAUUUAAACAGAAAUGGGACCAG